GACGAACGCUGGCGGCGUGCUUAACACAUGCAAGUCGAACGGAAAGGCCCUGCUUUUGUGGGGUGCUCGAGUGGCGAACGGGUGAGUAACACGUGAGUAACCUGCCCUUGACCUUGGGAUAACUUCAGGAAACUGGGGCUAAUACCGGAUAGGAGCUCCUGCUGCAUGGUGGGGGGUGGAAAGUCUCGGCGGUUGGGGAUGGACUCGCGGCUUAUCGGCUUGUUGGUGGGGUAGUGGCUUACCAAGGCAUUGACGGGUAGCCGGCCUGAGAGGGUGACCGGCCACAAUGGGACUGAGAUACGGACCAGUCGCGUACGUUAGGCAGCAGUGGGGAAUAUGACACAGCGAUCGCGAGUCUGAUGAAACGGCGCUCGGUGUGGGAUGCCGUCUUGUGGGUUAUGAAACGCUUUCGCCUGAGACGAAGCGUGAGUGACGGUAAUCGAUAAAGAAGCACCGGCUAACUACGUG
RNAcentral lists this ribosomal RNA (468 nucleotides) under uncultured bacterium. RNAcentral describes it as "partial 16S ribosomal RNA". It matches the Rfam family "Bacterial small subunit ribosomal RNA", at positions 28 to 507 of the family's 1533-position model. The record is from RNAcentral.